AUAACUUUAAGUUAAGGAAACUGUAAACCUUCAAAGUUUAAUAUAAUGUAAUGUUAAGUUAUG
This 63-nucleotide transfer RNA is filed under the name Trichuris trichiura (human whipworm). Its description in RNAcentral is "tRNA-Trp". RNAcentral also lists the same sequence under 1 other name. Lineage: Eukaryota; Metazoa; Nematoda; Enoplea; Trichinellida; Trichuridae. The record is from RNAcentral.